AGUCUCCUGAAGGAACGUUGAAGACGACGACGUUGAUAGGUCGGGUGUGUAAGUGUAGCGAUACAUUGAGCUAACCGAUACUAAUGAACCGUGAGGCUUAACCUUACAACGCCGAAGGUGUUU
This 123-nucleotide ribosomal RNA is filed under the name Citrobacter werkmanii. RNAcentral describes it as "partial 23S ribosomal RNA". The stretch from base 1 to 105 matches the Rfam family "Bacterial large subunit ribosomal RNA", at positions 2821 to 2925 of the family's 2925-position model. Lineage: Bacteria; Pseudomonadati; Pseudomonadota; Gammaproteobacteria; Enterobacterales; Enterobacteriaceae. The record is from RNAcentral.